Amphimedon queenslandica is the source of this 374-nucleotide long non-coding RNA. RefSeq lists it as uncharacterized. Lineage: Eukaryota; Metazoa; Porifera; Demospongiae; Haplosclerida; Niphatidae. The transcript is spliced from 4 exons. The record is from RefSeq and is a predicted model, not a curated record.
UAUAUUACUGGUAGUUACUAUACUAGUAAUAUUAAUAGUGAGUGCAUUAGUGUGUAGGAGAAGAUUGUAUAAAAAAUCAAUUGGAAAUGAUUCUGUCAGUUCUACUGAAAGUAAAGCUGAUAUACAUCAACAAUCAGAUGCAAUAAAAAUGAACGAAGGACAGAAUACAUUAACAACAUCAACUAAUCCUGCCUAUGGAGUUACUGGUCAAAAAUCUGGUGUAUCUGCUAAUUCUGCCUAUGGUAUUCACAACAGAGAAGGAAUAGAAAGUAUUGGUGAAGAAGCAUUAGUAUAUGAUGAACCAAGAACAAUGAUGUUCAAUGAACAAGAGGAAGAAGAUGAACAGUACAUCUAACAGAAAAAAUAAUAAUAAU